UAGUUCUAGGGACUGUAUUUCACUCAAAACAUACCAAAUGACUCCUCCCACAAUAUUAUGAUGUUCCCCAAGUUUUGGACUCAAUCCGAUAUCGAUUGGUCCUUGAAAUCGGACAAUUCAGGUUUGUACGAAGUUUGUUCUGAAAUGGUGUGGUUGGUGUAUAUAGUUCUAGAGAUUGGAUUUCACUCAAAACCCACCGAAUGACUCCGCCCACAAUAUUAUGAUGUUCCCCAAGUUUUGGACUCAAACCGAUAUCGAUUGGUCCUUGAAAUCGGACAAUUCAGGUUCGUACGAAGUUCGUUCUUAAAUGGGGUGGUUGGUGCAUUGUAUAGUUCUAGGGAUUGGAUUUCACUCAAAAACCACCAACUGACUCCUCCCAGAAUAUUAUGAUGUUCCCCAAGUUUUGGACUCAAUCCGUUAUCGAUUGGUCCUUGAAAUCGGACAAUUCAGGUUCGUACGAAGUUCGUUCUUAAAUGGGGUGGUUGGUGCAUUGUAUAGUUCUAGAGAUUGGAUUUCACUCAAAACCCACCGAAUGACUACUCCCACAAUAUUAUGAAGUUCCCCAAGUUUGGGACACAAUCCGAUAUCGAUUGGUCCUUGAAAUCGGACAACUCAGUUCCUACGAAGUUCAUUCGGAAAUGGGGUGGUUGGUGUAUUGUAUAGUUCUAAAGAUUGGAUUUCACUCAAAACCGCCAUAUGACUCCUCCCAGAAUAUUAUGAUGUUCCCCAAGUUUUGGACUCAAUCCGAUAUCGAUUGGUCCUUGAAAUCGGACAAUUCAGGUUCCUACGAUGUUCGUUCUGAAAUGGGGUGGUUGGUGUAUUGUAUAGUUCAAGAGAUUGGAUUUCACUCAAAACCCACCAAAUGGCUCCUCCCACAAUAUUAUGAUGUUCCCCAAGUUUUGGACUCAAUCCGAUAUCGAUCGGUCAAUGAAAUUUGACAAUUCAGGUUCGUACGAAGUUCGUUCUGAAAUGGAGUGGUUGGUGUAUUGUACAGUUCUUGGGAUUGUAUUUCACUCAAAACUUACCAAAUGACUCCUCCCACAAUAUUAUGAUGUUCCCCAAGUUUUGGACUCAAUCCGUUAUCGAUUGGUCCUUGAAAUCGGACAAUUCAGGUUCGUACGAAGUUCGUUCUGAAAUGGGAUGGUUGGUGUAUUGUAUAGUUCUAGAGAUUGGAUUUCACUCAAAACCCACCAAAUGACUCCUCCCAGAAUAUUAUGAUGUUACCCAAGUUUUGGACUCAAUCCGAUAUCGAUUGGUCCUUGAAAUCGGACAAUUCAGGUUCGUACGAAGUUCGUUCUGAAAUGGGUUGGUUGGUGUAUUGUAUAGUCCUAGAGAUUGGAUUUCACUCAAAACCCACCGAAUGACUCCCCCCACAAUAUUAUGAUGUUCACCACGUUUUGGACUCAAUCCGAUAUCGAUUGGUCCUUGAAAUCGGACAGUUCAGGUUCCUACGAACUUCGUUCUGAAAUGGGGUGGUUGGUGUAUUGUAUAGUUCUAGAGUUUGGAUUUCACUCAAAACCCAUCAAAUGACUCCUACCACAAUAUUAUGAUGUUCCCCAAGUUUUGGACUCAAUCCGUUAUCGAUUCGUCAAUGAAAUCGGACAAUUCAGGUUCGUACGAAGUUCGUUCUGAAAUGGGGUGGUUGGUGUGUUGUAUAGUUCCAGAGAUUGGAUUUCACCCAAAACCCACCAAAUGACUCCUCCCACAAUAUUAUGAAGUUCCCCAUGUUUUGGACACAAUCCGAUAUCGAUUGGUCCUUGAAAUCGGACAAUUCAGGUUCCUACGAAGUUCGUUCUGAAAUGGGGUGGUUGGUGUAUUGUAUAGUUCUAAAGAUUGGAUUUCAUUCAAAACCCGCCAUAUGACUCCUCCCAGAAUAUUAUGAUGUUCCCCAAGUUUUGGACUCAAUCCGAUAUCGAUUGGCCCUUGAAAUCGGACAAUUCAGGUUCCGACGAAGUUCGUUCUGAAAUGGGUUGGUUGGUGUAUUGUAUAGUUCUAGAGAUUGGAUAUCACUCAAAACCCACCAAAUGACUCCUCCCACAAUAUUAUGAUGUUCCCCAAGUUUUGGACUCAAUCCGAUAUCGAUCGGUCAACGAAAUUUGACAAUUCAGGUUCGUACGUAGUUCGUUCUAAAAUGGAGUGGUUGGUGUAUUGUAUAGUUCUUCGGAUUGUAUUUCACUCAAAACUUUCCAAAUGACUCCUCCCACAAUAUUAUGAUGGUCCCCAAGUUUUGGACUCAAUCCGAUAUCGAUUGGUCCUUGAAAUCGGACAAUUCAAGUUCGUACGAAGUUCGUUCUGAAAUGGGGUGGUUGGUGUAUUGUAUAGUUGUAGAGAUUGGAUUUCACUCAAAACCCACCAAAUGACUCCUCCUAGAAUAUUGUGAUGUUCCCCAAGUUUUGGACUCAAUCCGAUAUCGAUUGGUCCUUGAAAUCGGACAACUCAGGUUCGUACGAAGUUCGUUCUGAAAUGGGUUGGUUGGUGUAUUGUAUAGUUCUAGAGAUUGGAUUUCACUCAAAACCCACCAAAUGCCUCCUCCCACAAUAUUAUGAGGUUCCCCAAGUUUUGGACUCAAUCCGAUAUCGAUUGGUCCUUGAAAUCGGACAAUUCAGGUUCCUACGAAGUUUGUUCUGAAAUGGGGUGGUCGGUGUAUUGUAUAGUUCUACAGAUUGGAUUUCACUCAAAACCCACCAAAUGACUCCUCCCACAAUAUUAUGAUGUUCCCCAAGUUUUGGACUCAAUCCGAUACCGAUCGGUCUACGAAAUUUGACAAUUCAGGUUCGUACGAAGUUCAUUCUGAAAUGGAGUGGUUGGUGUACUGUAUAGUUCUAGGGAUUGUAUUGCACUCAAAACUGACCAAAUGACUCCUCCCAUAAUAUUAUGAUGUUCCCCAAGUUUUGGACUCAAUCCGAUAUCGAUUGGUCCUUGAAAUCGGACAAUUCAGGUUUGUACGAACUUCGUUCUGAAAUGGGGUGGUUGGUGUAUUUUAUAGUUCUAGAGAUUGGAUUUCACUCAAAACCCACCGAACGACUCCUUCCACAAUAUGAUGAUGUUCCCCAUGUUUUGGACUCAAUCCGAUAUCGAUUGGUCCUUGAAAUCGGACAAUUCAGGUUCGUACGAAGUUCGUUCUAAAAUGGGGUGGUUGGUGUAUUGUAUAGUUCUAGAGAUUGGAUUUCACUCAAAACCCACCAAAUGACUCCUCCCAGAAUAUUAUGUUGUUCCCCAAGUUUUGGACUCAAUCCGUUAUCGAUUGGUCAAUGAAAUCGGACAAUUCGGGUUCGUACGAAGUUCGUUCUGAAAUGGGGUGGUUGGUGUAUUGUAUAGUUCUAGAGAUUGGAUUUCACUCAAAACCCACCAAAUGACUCCUCCCAGAAUAUUGUGAACUUCCCCCAGUUUUGGACUCAAUCCGAUAUCGAUUGGUCCUUGAAAUCGGACAAUUCAGUUCCUACUAAGUUCGUUUUGAAAUGGGUGGUUGGUGUAUUGUGUAGUUCUUAGAGACUUGGAUUUGACUCAAAACCCACCCAAUGACUCCUCCCACAAUAAUAAUGAUAUUCCCCAAGUUUUGAACUCAUUCCGAUUACCGAUCGGUCUACAAAUUUGACAGUUNNNNNNNNNNNNNNNNNNNNNNNNNNNNNNNNNNNNNNNNNNNNNNNNNNNNNNNNNNNNNNNNNNNNNNNNNNNNNNNNNNNNNNNNNNNNNNNNNNNNGGUUCGUACGAAGUUCGUUCUGAAAAUGGAGUGGUUGGUGUACUGUAUAGUUCUAGGGAUUGUAUUUCACUCAAAACUUACCAAAUGACUCCUCCCACAAUAUUAUGAUGUUCCCCAAGUUUUGGACUCAAUCCGAUAUCGAUUGGUCCUUGAAAUCGGGCAAUUCAUGUUCGUACGAAGUUCGUUCUGAAAUGGGGUGGUUGGUGUAUUUUAUAGUUCUAGAGAUUGGAUUUCACUCAAAACCCACCGAACGACUCCUCCCACAAUAUUAUGAUGUUCCCCAAUUUUGGACUCAAUCCGAUAUCGAUUGGUUCUUGAAAUCAGACAAUUCAGGUUCGUACGAAGUUCGUUCUGAAGUGGGGUGGUUGGUGUAUUGUAUAGUUCUAGAGAUUGGAUUUCACUCAAAACCCACCAAAUGACUCCUCUCAGAAUAUUAUGAUGUUCCCCAAGUUUUGGACUCAAUCCGUUAUCGAUUGGUCAAUGAAAUCGGACAAUUCAGGUUCGUACGAAGUUCGUUCUGAAAUGGUUUGGUUGGUGUAUUGUAUAGUUCUAGAGAUUGGAUUUCACUCAAAACCCACUAAAUGACUCCUCCCACAAUAUUAUGAAGUUCCCCAAGUUUUGGACUCAAUCCGAUAUCGAUUGGUCCUUGAAAUCGGAUAAUUCAGGUUCCUACGAAGUUCGUUUUGAAAUAGGGUGGUUGGUGUAUUGUGUAGUUCUUGAGAUUGGAUUUGACUCAAAACCCACCAAAUGACUCCUCCCACAAUAUUAUGAUGUUCCCCAAGUUUUGGACUCAAUCCAAUAACGAUUGGUUGAUGAAAUCGGACAAUUCAGGUUCGUACGAAGUUCGUUCAGAAAUAGAGUGGCUGAUGUAUUGUAUUGUUCUGGAGAUUGGAUUUCACUCAAAAAUCACCAAAUGACUCCUCCCACAAUAUUACGUACCCUCCUUGAGGGAUCAAGCCACACGUAGUUCUUCCUUAAAACCCAAUUCCACACUUGGGCGAUACCUUAUUUCAUUUCUCUGGAUUUCAUGUAAUCUCCCCAUACGUCGGUACAACCAACGCCACGUAUGGGGCCUGUCAACACGCCGGAUGACCUACGCCACGUGCGACCAUGCCAUAUUAUCAUAAUAUCUCCCCAUACGCCGGUACAACCAACGCCACGUAUGGGGUCUGUCUCAACGCCAGAUAACCUACGCCACGCGAGACCUGCACAUCAUAUCACAUAACUCCCCAUACGCCGGUACAACCAACGCCACGUAUGGGGCCUGUCCCAACGCCGGAUAACCUACGCCACGUGGGACCUCAACAUCAUAUCACAAAUCUCCCCAUACGUCGGUACAACCAACGCCACGUAUGGGGUCUGUCGACACGCCGGAUAACCUACGCCACGUGCGACCUCAACACAAUAUCACAUAGCUCCCCAUACGCCGGUACAACCAACGCCACUUAUGGGGCCUGUCUCAACGCCGGAUAACCUACACCACGUGAGACCUAAACAUAAUAUCACAAAUCUCCCCAUACGCCGGUACAACCAACGCCACGUAUGGGGCCUGUUCCAACGCCGGAUAACCUACGCCACGCGGGACCUCAAUUUCACUUGGUGGUACUUGUAGUAAAUCCAACAUCCGGGGAGGUACCUAAAGUAGUGCGUAUAGCACUCAAAACUGACAUUCUAGACUCUGUUGUACCCUUGUACAACCAUAUAUAAUUAUAAUUAUAUAAAUUAAUUCUAAUUAUAUAAAUUAAUUCUAAUAUUGUGUAACCCUCCACAAUCAUCUAGUACCCGAUAAUCUCCCCUAGAAAUGUGAGAUUACUCCGGGAGACUCACGGUCAACCAAGGGUCAAACUUCUCUAACCCUGGUCAAACGGACCUGCAGAACCCAUGACCUCCAAUUUCCGAUCCGAAGGUCCCUAUGGGUUCUACCAGGUAUAGGACACUUGUCCUGCAAGUUUGGUUCAGAUCGGACGGUCGGAUUGCUCACGAUCGCACGAUCUGACGGUUAAUAUAAAAUAUAAACUUUAAAUUAUUAUUCGGAACAUCCGGGGCUCCGAUUCACGAUCCGUGAAUUCUUACACGAUCCUCGAAUUACCUAGAUUAACAUAUAUUAAAUUUGGGACCAUCCAACGGCCCCAACCUAUCGAACCCGGAUAACGCACAAUAUGCGAAUAUCCGUUCGAUAGUCAAACGACGUCCGAAUUGAGAUCCGCGAAAUCCUACACACUCGUGACAACCUAAGGAUCUCAUCGGAACACAUUGUUACUUUUUCCACAGUGCCCACGCGCCACCGCACGCGCCGGCAGCGCUGGGUGUCCAAAGCGAUAACGCUUUGCCGGAAAAUCUCAAAACCACGGCUCCAAACUCCUACCCUAGGUAUAACACCCUAUUUGGAGCCACUUUUGUUCUUGGACCUACCCCAAAAAGUGGCCGGAAAUGGCCGAUCACGGCGGCCAAAGUUUCGGCCGAUUUUCAAUUCGAAAAUCGAGUUGUCUACACUAAGAAUCGAUCUAAUCCUACCCAACCAUCAGCUAGAGCAGCUCGAGAGGUUCAAAAUCCAUACCUGGGUCGACGGAAUUGGUGGCCGGAGGAGGAAGAUCGGCGGUUUUGAAGUUUGGACGACGUCGGCCGCUUCAUCUCCAGAUUCCGGCGAAUCCGCGGCGGCUGGUGGUGGGAGGUAGCUGGGAUAGGAAGAGGACGACGGCCCGGUCAUUUUUGUACCGGUCCCGUCAUCAUUGGUGGCCGGAGGAGAGCACGGCCGGCCAAAACGUGGCCGGCUGUCGCGCGCGAGAGAGAGACCCGCGGGGAGGAGAGAGAGAGAGAGAAAACCAGAUUUUUAUAAAAAUCCCAUUUCGAAAUAUUUACGAUUGUGCCACUGGAUUUCUUUUGACCAUAUCUCUCUCGUUACAACUCCGAUUCGAGCCCACUACGUGUCUAUGAACUCGUCUCAGUACGACCUAUCCAAAAAUACAAGUCACGGUCCCAAACUCUCUCUGGUUAAAAAUAUGACUAAAAUACCCUUAAAUAAUUAAAUAAGGGUAAAAUUUGGGGAAAAUUUGGGGUCGGGGUGUUACAUCCUCCCACAAUAUUUUGAAGUUCCCCAAGUUUUGGAGUCAAUCCUAUAUCGAUUGGUCCACGAAAUUUGACAAUUCAGGUUCGGACGAAGUUCGUUCUGAAAUGGAGUGGUUGGUGUAUUGUAUAGUUCUAGGGAUUGGAUUUCACUCAAAACCUAUCAAAUGACUCCUCCAAAAAUAUUAUGAUGUUCCCCAAGUUUUGGACUCAAUUCGAUUUCGAUUGGUCCUUGAAAUCGGAUAAUUCAGGUUCGUACGAUGUUCGUUCUGAAAUGGAGUGGUUGGUGUAUUGUAUAGUUCUAGAAAUUGGAUUUCAUUCAAAACCCACCAAAUGACUCCUCCCGCAAUAUUAUGAUGUUCCUCAAGUUUUGGACUCAAUCCGAUAUCGAUUGGUUAAUGAAAUUGAACAAUUCAAGUUCGUACGAAGUACGUUCCGAAAUGGAGUGGUUGGUUUAUUGUAUAGUUCUAGGGAUUGGAUUUCACUCAAAACCCACCGAAUGACAACUCCCACAAUAUUAAGAUGUUUCCCAAGUUUUGGACUCAAUCUGAUAUCGAUUGUUCCUUGAAAUCGGACAAUUCAGGUUCGUACGAAGUUGGUUCUGAAAUGGGGUGGUUGGUGUAUUGCACAGUUCUAGAGAUUGGAUUUCACUCAAAACCCACCAAAUGACUCCUCCCACAAUAUUAUGAUGUUCCCCAAGUUUUGGACUCAAUCCAAUAUCGAUUGGUUCAUGAAAUCGGACAAUUCAGGUCCGUAUGAAGUUCAUUCUGAAAUGGAGUGGUUACUGUAUUAUAUAGUUCUAGUGAUUGGAUUUCACCCAAACCCCACCAAAUGAGAACUCCCACAAUAUUAUGAUGUGCCCCAAGUUUUGGACUCAAUCCGAUAUCGAUUGGUCAAUGAAAUCGGACAAUUCAAGUUCGUACGAAGUUCGUUCUGAAAAGGAGCGGCUGAUGUAUUGUGCAGUUCUAGAGAUUGGAUUCACUCAAAACCCACCAAAUGACUACUCCAACAAUCUUAUGAUGUUCCCCAAGUUUUGGACUCAAUCCGAUAUCGAUUGAUCCACGAAAUCGGCCAAUUUAGGUUCGUGUGAACUGUGUUUUGAAAUGGAGUGUUUGGUGUAUUGUAUAGUUCUAGAUAUUGGAUUUCACUCAAAAUCAACCAAAUGACUCCUCCCACAAUAUUAUGAUGUUCCCCAAGUUUUGGACUCAAUCCAAUAUCGAUUGGUCCAUGAAAUCGGACAAUUCAGGUCCAUACGAAGUUCGUUUUGAAAUGGAGUGGUUAGUGUAUUAUGUAGUUCUAGGGAUUGGAUUUCACUCAAAACCCACCAAAUGACAACUCCCAUAAUAUUAUGAUGUUCCCCAAUUUUUGGACUCAAUCCGAUAUCGAAUGGUCAAUGAAAUCGGACAAUUCAAGUUCGUAUGAAGUUCGUUCUGAAAUGGAGUGGUUGGUGUAUUGUAUAGUUCUAGGGAUUGGAUUUCACUCAAAACCCACCAAAUGACUCCUCCCACAAUAUUAUGAUGUUCCCCAAGUUUUGGACUGAAUCCGAUAUCGAUUGGUCCAUGAAAUCGGCUAAUUCAGGUUCGUGUGAACUAUGUUCUGAAAUGGAGUGGUUGGUGUAUUGUACAGUUCUAGAGAUUGGAUUUCACUCAAAAUCCCCCAAAUGACUCGUCCCACAAUAUUAUGAGGUUCCCCAAGUUUUGGAGUCAAUCUGAUAUCGAUUGGUCCUUGAAAUCGGCCAAUUCAGGUUCCUGGGAAUUGCGUUCUGAAAUGGAGUGGUUGGUAUAUUGUAUUGUUCUAGAGAUUGGAUUUCACUCAAAAUCCACCAAAUGACUCCUCCUACAAUAUUAUGGUGUUCCCCAAGUUUUGGACUCAAUCCGAUAUCGAUUAGUCCUUGUAAUCGGACAAUUCAGGUUCGUGUGAACUGUGUUCUGAAAUGGAGUGGUUGGGGUGUUGCAUAAUUCUAGAGAUUGGAUUUCACUCAAAAUCCACCAAAUGACUCUUCCCCCAAUAUUUUGAUGUUCCCCCAGUUUUAGACUCAAUCAGAUAUUGAUUGGUCCUUGAAAUCGGACAAUUCAGGUUCGUACGAAGUUCGUUCUGAAAUGGAGUGGUUGGUGUAUUGUAUAGUUCUGCCAAUUGGAUUUCACUCAAAACCCGCCAAAUGACUCCACCCACAAUAUUACGAUGUUCCCCCAGUUUUGGACUCAAUCAGAUAUCGACUGGUCCACGAAAUUUGACAAUUCAGGUUCGUAUGAAGUACGUUCAGAAAUGGAGUGGUUGGUGAAUUGUAUAUAGUUCUAGGGAUUGGAUUUCAUUAAAAACCCACCAAAUGACUCCUCCCACAAUAUUUUGUUGUUCCCCAAGUUUUGGACUCAAUCCGACAUCGAUUGGUCCUUGAAAUCGAACAAUUCAGGUUCGUGCAAAGUUCACUCUAAAAUGGAGUGGCUGAUGUAUUGUAUAGUUCUAGAGAUUGGAUUUCGCUCAAAACCCACCAAAUGACUACUCCCACAAUAUUAUGACGUUCCCCAAGUUUUGGACUCAAUCCGAUAUCAAUUGGUCUUUGAAAUUGGACAAUUCAGGUUUGUACGAAGUUCGUUCUGAAAUGGAGUGGUUGGUGUAUUGUAUAGUUCUAGAGAUUGUAUUUCACUCAAAACCCACCGAAUAACUCCUCCCACAAUACGAUGAUGUUCUCCGUGUUUUGGACUCAAUCCGAAAUCGAUUGGUCCACGAAAUUUGACAAUUCAUGUUCGUACGAAGUUCGUUAUGAAAUGUAGUGGUUGGUGUAUUGUAUAGUUCUAGGGAUUAGAUUUCACUCAAGGCCCACCAAAUGACUCCACCCACAAUAUUACGAUGUUCCCCAAGUUUUGGACUCAAUUCGACAUCGAUUGGUCCUUGAAAUCAGACAAUUCAGGUUCGUACGAAGUUCGUUCUGAAAUGGAGUGGCUGAUGUAUUAUAUAGUGCACGAGAUUGGAUUUCACUCAAAACCCACCAAAUGACUCCGCCCACAAUAUUAUGAUGUUCCCCAAGUUUUGGACUCAAUCCGAUAUCGAUUGGUCCUUGAAAUCGGACAAUUCAGGUUCGUACGAAGUUCGUUCUGCAAUGGGGCGGUUGGUGUGUUGUAUAGUUCUAGGGAUUGUAUUUCACUCAAAACCCACCAAAUGACUCCUCCC
RNAcentral lists this long non-coding RNA (9931 nucleotides) under Prunus persica (peach). Its description in RNAcentral is "long non-coding RNA (PPER_LNC007039)". The record is from RNAcentral. Lineage: Eukaryota; Viridiplantae; Streptophyta; Magnoliopsida; Rosales; Rosaceae.